AGUCUGGUGCCAGCAGCCGCGGUAAUUCCAGCUCCAGUAGCGUAUACUAAAGUUGCUGCGGUUAAAAAGCUCGUAGUUGAAAGACAGGGGUGCGGUGGAAAGUGACUCUGCGAAGAAGCGGGGGAAGCGGAAGCAGCACCUCUUUAGCCGGGGAAGCAUGUCUGCACUUGACUGGGCGGGCGUUAGCCGAAACGGCGAUAUACCUUGAGGAAAAUAGAGUGUUCAAAGCAGGCGACAAGGGGGCGGCGGUGGCUUAACGGCUGCCGCUUAGCGCCCGACAUACGCCGUGAAUAAGUUAGCAUGGAAUAAGCGAAGAGGACUUUGGACCCGUACCGGGUUAGUAGCAAUUGGUAGAUGGGGCCGGAGUAAUGAUUAAUAGGGACAGAUGGGGGCAUUAGUAUUUCGUAGUCAGAGGUGAAAUUCAAGGAUUUACGAAAGACUAACUAGUGCGAAAGCAUUUGCCAAGGAUGUUUUCAUUAAUCAAGAACGAAAGUUUGGGGAUCGAAGACGAUCAGAUACCGUCGUAGUCCAAACCAUAAACUAUGCCGACUCGGGAUUGGGGUGAGCACGAGAGAAGGCCACGCCAGGACCGUAAGAGAAAUCACAAGUUAUUGGGUUCCGGGGGGAGUAUGGUCGCAAGCUGAAACUUAAAGGAAUUGACGGAAGGGCACCACCAGGAGUGGAGCUUGCGGCUUAAUUCAACCCAACACGGGAAAACUUACCAGGGCCAGACACGGGAAGGAUUGACAGAUUGAUAGCUCUUUCUUGAUUCCGUGAGUGGUGGUGCAUGGCCGUUCUUAGUUGGUGGAGUGAUUUGUCUGCUUAAUUGCGAUAACGAACGAGACCUUAGCCUUUAAAUAGUCAUCGGCACCGUCUGCAGGCAAAAUGAUGCCAGGGUAGACGUUGUACACGGGUCGCAAGGCCCGACGGAGGUGACUUCUUAGAGGGACAACCGGUGGAUAGCCGGAGGAAGCAUAAGGCAAUAACAGGUCUGUGAUGCCCUUAGAUGUUCUGGGCCGCACGCGCGCUACAAUGAUGAAGUCAACGAGUGAAGGAAACCGAGCCCGAUCGCAAGGUUGGGGGAGGACGAAGUGUAUCCUUGGCUGAAAAGUCUGGGUAAUCUCGAGAAACUUCAUCGUGCUGGGGAUUGACCUUUGCAAUUAUGGGUCAUGAACGAGGAAUUCCUAGUAAGCGUAAGUCAUCAUCUUACGUUGAUUACGUCCCUGCCCUUUGUACACACCGCCCGUCGCUCCUACCGAUCGAAUUGUUCGGCGAAAUCUCCG
This 1283-nucleotide ribosomal RNA is filed under the name metagenome. Its description in RNAcentral is "SSU rRNA". It matches the Rfam family "Eukaryotic small subunit ribosomal RNA", at positions 558 to 1712 of the family's 1831-position model. The record is from RNAcentral.